Molecule: ribosomal RNA, 253 nt
Filed under: uncultured bacterium
Lineage: Bacteria
Description: partial 16S ribosomal RNA
Rfam family: Bacterial small subunit ribosomal RNA
Source: RNAcentral
CACGGGGGUUGCGAGCGUUGUUCGGAAUUAUUGGGCGUAAAGCGCGUGUAGGCGGUCUUUUAAGUCUGAUGUGAAAGCCCCGGGCUCAACCUGGGAAGUGCAUUGGAAACUGGGAGACUUGAAUACGGGAGAGGGUAGUGGAAUUCCUAGUGUAGGAGUGAAAUCCGUAGAUAUUAGGAGGAACACCGGUGGCGAAGGCGGCUACCUGGACCGAUAUUGACGCUGAGACGCGAAAGCGUGGGGAGCAAACAGG